GCUGGGUGUGGUGGUGCACACCUAUAGUCCCAGCUACUCCAGAGGCUGAGGUGGGAGGAUUGCUUGAGCCCAGGAGCUUGAGGCUGCAGUGAGCUAUGAUUGCACCACUGAACUCCAGCCUGGGCAACAGAGUAAGACCCUGUCUCUU
Molecule: unclassified non-coding RNA, 148 nt
Organism: Pongo abelii (Sumatran orangutan)
Lineage: Eukaryota; Metazoa; Chordata; Mammalia; Primates; Hominidae
Rfam family: Metazoan signal recognition particle RNA
About the family: The signal recognition particle (SRP) is a universally conserved ribonucleoprotein.
Source: Ensembl